Long non-coding RNA from Neofelis nebulosa (Clouded leopard), 488 nucleotides. RefSeq lists it as uncharacterized. Lineage: Eukaryota; Metazoa; Chordata; Mammalia; Carnivora; Felidae. The transcript has 2 exons. The record is from RefSeq and is a predicted model, not a curated record.
CAUGGUAGCUGGUUGCUGGGCUGCCCUCGGGAAUGGAUUGAAUGGGUCAGGAAUCAGAAGCAGGAUUUUCCUGCGUGCCCCCCUGGCCUGGGUCAGAAGGCUAAUGCAUUUUGGAGAAAGGAUCCAGAAAGAUUUCUCGCUUCUCCUAAAGGCAAGCAGAACAACUUUUCCCCACCAGAGAAAGCCUGGAAUCCGAGCUGGUUUCUUGUGAGGUUAGCAUCCAGGAAAGGGUGAAUGAACUGCGUCGGGGGAAGUCUAAGCCGGUUCCAAGAUAGAGAGAACCUUUGGCAUCCAUCAUACCAGCCCUGCCUUCUCCAAAGGACUUCACAAAAUAGCACCAAAGGGCUUCAAGCAAAGGGAUGGUAACGUCUGGAUUACCGUAUUUCAUCAAGUUUAAGAUGCUGUCAGUUAUAAGAUGAACCAUUUUUAAAUGUACCACAGAGGGGAAAAAAGUUGCCAAAUAAAGACGUCAUCAGUUAUAAGCUGAU